GAGUUUGAUCGUGGCUCAGAUUGAACGCUGGCGGCAGGCCUAACACAUGCAAGUCGAGCGGAUGAAGGGAGCUUGCUCCUGGAUUCAGCGGCGGACGGGUGAGUAAUGCCUAGGAAUCUGCCUGGUAGUGGGGGAUAACGUCCGGAAACGGGCGCUAAUACCGCAUACGUCCUGAGGGAGAAAGUGGGGGAUCUUCGGACCUCACGCUAUCAGAUGAGCCUAGGUCGGAUUAGCUAGUUGGUGGGGUAAAGGCCUACCAAGGCGACGAUCCGUAACUGGUCUGAGAGGAUGAUCAGUCACACUGGAACUGAGACACGGUCCAGACUCCUACGGGAGGCAGCAGUGGGGAAUACUGGACAAUGGGCGAAAGCCUGAUCCAGCCAUGCCGCGUGUGUGAAGAAGGUCUUCGGAUUGUAAAGCACUUUAAGUUGGGAGGAAGGGCAGUAAGUUAAUACCUUGCUGUUUUGACGUUACCAACAGAAUAAGCACCGGCUAACUUCGUGCCAGCCGCCGCGGUAACACCG
This 524-nucleotide ribosomal RNA is filed under the name uncultured microorganism. RNAcentral's name for it is "bacterial SSU rRNA". It matches the Rfam family "Bacterial small subunit ribosomal RNA", at positions 9 to 528 of the family's 1533-position model. The record is from RNAcentral.